RNAcentral lists this ribosomal RNA (439 nucleotides) under uncultured bacterium. RNAcentral's name for it is "partial 16S ribosomal RNA". It matches the Rfam family "Bacterial small subunit ribosomal RNA", at positions 338 to 795 of the family's 1533-position model. The record is from RNAcentral.
CCUACGGGUGACAGCAGUGGGGAAUAUUGCACAAUGGGGGAAACCCUGAUGCAGCGACGCCGCGUGAGUGAAGAAGUAUCUCGGUACGUAAAGCUCUAUCAGCAGGGAAGAAAAUGACGGUACCUGAAUAAGUAGCCCCGGCUAACGACGUGCCAGCAGCCGCGGUAAUACGUAGGGGGCGAGCGGUAUCCGGAGUUAUUGGGUUAAAAGGGUGCGUAGGCGGAAUAUCAAGUCAGCGGUAAAACUUCGGGGCUCAACCCCGUCGUGCCGUUGAAACUGAUGUUCUUGAGUGGGCGAGAAGUAUGCGGAAUGCGUGGUGUAGCGGUGAAAUGCAUAGAUAUCACGCAGAACUCCGAUUGCGAAGGCAGCAUACCGGCGCCCAACUGACGCUGAAGCACGAAAGCGUGGGUAUCGAACAGGAUUAGAUACCCUGGUAGUC